This 809-nucleotide long non-coding RNA is filed under the name Pan troglodytes (chimpanzee). Its description in RNAcentral is "lincRNA". The record is from RNAcentral. Lineage: Eukaryota; Metazoa; Chordata; Mammalia; Primates; Hominidae.
CACAGCGCGGGCGCAGGCGCGGGGCGGUGCACAGCGCGGGCGCAGGCGCCGAGAGGCGCGCAGGAGACCUCAGGCCCAGGCUCCACUCCCCAGCUGUGAAAGGACUGCUGUCCAGACCCCCAAGCUAGCCCGCCAGGCCUCCAUAGAGCUGCCCAGCAUGGCUGCGUCCAGUACCAAAAGUUGGUGGGAGACGGGUGAGGUACAGGCUCAGUCUGCAGCCAAGACUCCGUCCUGCAAGGAUAUUGUGGCUGGAGACAUGAGCAAGAAAAGCCUCUGGGAGCAGAAGGGAGGCUCCAAGACCUCAUCAACAAUUAAGGAAGGAGUGAUUGGCUGCUGGUCCUGCCCUGUCCGAGGAGGAGGACGGAACCCACCCACCAAGCUAUGGAGAGGUGGACCCCACAAAUCCCCUCGCAAGCCACGUCUGAGAGCGAGCAGAGGGAAGAAACUCAAGCGUUUGUAGUCCUCUUUCUUAACAACCAGGCUUAAAGCGCCAUCUUGUGUCUUGAAGGCAGAAGGAGGUCAGGAUGUGUGUGCUGGAAGCAGGCAGAGGAUCUUCACCAAUGUCUCAAAAACUAGAGAAGGAAACAUGGCGGCCCCAGCCCUUCCCGCACCCUGCGAUAGUCUGGUGUUGGGAGGGUGGCCCACGUGUCCAAGCAACCACAUCAGGGAGGUUCUGGGAGAGGAGAAGGCAAAGCUCCUGCCCUCAUGAGGCAGGCAGUCCCAUCCAGGACUGGACUGGAUGAGCACCAAUAAAUAAGAAAACACAGCUGGCAGCUGACUGUGAAGGGUCUGGACAGGGUGCCCAAGUG